This 1032-nucleotide long non-coding RNA is filed under the name Cricetulus griseus (Chinese hamster). RNAcentral's name for it is "lncRNA (ENSCGRG00015037848.1)". Lineage: Eukaryota; Metazoa; Chordata; Mammalia; Rodentia; Cricetidae. The record is from RNAcentral.
AAUCCCUGGGCGCUUCAUUUCAUGUUGACCUGUACUCCCUGAGCUAACACACAGGCCAAACCAUAACUUGUGUAAUCAGUUAUUAGAUUAGUAAGCUAAGGAAAAAGUAUAGGAAAGAGGUAACAGGUUGAUCCACUCGAGGAGCUCUGCACAGGAGCCGAGCAGACACAGGAGCAGAGCCAAACAGGAACAUCAGAGAAGGGAUGUCAGCAUUCCAUCCCAUAUACUGUCACUGGUGUGAAAUGGCACUUGCUGACUGGAUGCUUGAAGCUGGAUGACAGGCAGCUCUGGAGAAGAAACCUUCAUGUCAUCUGUCGGGUACUCGACCGGAAAUAAACGUUAGCAUCAAACCUGCUGUUUGACCAUGAGUCUAUUCACCAUCAUGAUGACGCCUGUGUAUAACACUCUCUCUGGGACAUCUUUUUUCUCCCUUGCUUCCUGCCCUGUCUGGAGUGGCUCUUUCAGAGCCUCAUGACAUACAUUAAAUAUCCAUCACUUUAUCACUGACUGUUGGGCUCAUGCAGCCCUUCCUACCAUAGAAGGAAGAGCCAACAUGUGGCCUUGAACCCAGAUGACUAUGUACUGUCCAUGGAAUAUCUGCAGUUCUUAGGCUCCUGAGCAUUCAUGCUUUCUGGCCAUUUGUAGUUUAUCUGUUGGACUUCUAAGCCUUUUAGGAGAUAAUCUCCUUGCUGUGGAAUGCUGGGUUUGUGGAAGCAUUGCAUUUUGCGUCACUGAGUAUCAGCAAAACUGCCUCUGAGCUAUGCAGACAUAUUGGGACGAGCACAGAAAGGGCUGGCUGGUGCAGCAAGGGGCCAGCUGCUGUAAGAGAAGCACAUUACCAAUUGCUGAAGCUGUUAAGAAAUUGCAGUAUCUCUUGUGAUAAACAAGAACCAUUGAAUCCAGAGGAAUCCCGAUAAGCCACACUACUUCCUGGAAAAUGUCUUGGGGGGGGGGAAGCACUGUUAUUAAAAUUGUAUGUAAAUUUUAGAAAGCAUGAAUUAAAACUGAAACAAAUCUAAAAAGCAUUUUUUU